This 1460-nucleotide long non-coding RNA is filed under the name Cairina moschata (Muscovy duck). RNAcentral's name for it is "domestica (muscovy Duck (domestic type)) lncRNA (ENSCMMG00000013943.1)". The record is from RNAcentral. Lineage: Eukaryota; Metazoa; Chordata; Aves; Anseriformes; Anatidae.
ACACAGUAUGCUACAGCAAGGUUUUUGCAGUGCCAGACCCCACGAAUGCAUGCAGGGGUCCAGAAGUGACAAAGCUACACACUAGGAAUGACUACACAGAGGUUCCAACAGGCUUCCAGAGCAUAGUCAGACCCCACAUCAGAAGCCUACUGAGCUUCCAUGUGCCUCAACCACCCUAUCAGCCCCCAUGCACAUCCAAGCCCCCUCCCCGCCCUUCUGGGAGCUGCUGGACCAGGAGCUGGGCAUGGAGUGGCUGCAGCUGGGCCUCGUCAGCCAGGCGGAUCCUUUGCUAUCACGUGGGACUCACAGUGGUGGUGUCCUGGUGUUUCCCAGCAGUGUGGAGUCUGCAGUAUGGUGGUGACUGCUGUCACCACAGACUUUCAUUUUGUACCCCUGAAAUGGAAGUGAAGUCUAGGAAGUAGCUGAAGAGGUGAUGAAGACUCAAUGAUGAUGUCAACUUUGCUGAAUUCUCUGAUCCCAGCACCAAGAAAAAUGGAAAAAUGUUUAAGGGACAGCCAUCAUAAAGGUAAUUAGCUUCUCCUGCUUACCUAAAAAGUCAUCGUUUGAUAGGCUGGCAUAUUUUUUUCAGAUAACAGGGUUAUAAAUGUAGUGCUUGAUCUAUAAUUGCUGGAGCUAUAUGUUUGCUUUUGUGACAGUAAAACCAAGAACCUGUUUUCUCAUGAAUGUUAGGAGUUUCAUCGGCUUAGAAUCCUAACGUGGUUAUUUCAGAUUUUAAAAUAUUUUUUCCUUUUUAACACUUUGCUUUGUAAAGAUCCUGAAUUCUUUCUUACAAUGUUAAUGAUUUCACACUUUUUAUCAUGUUAAGUGUGAAAGGUUAAGCAUCCAGACUGUAGAAAGAGCUAAAUUACUCUUGUACUAAUCACUGUCUGCUGGAGGAAAUUACUGUAUUAUGUAUUACUGUUGAGAUACUGGUGAAUCAAUAUUCAUGUAGAAGCCUGAACUCUUACAAUUUCUACAGUUUAUAACUGUUGUAUUUAAUUAGACUCUUUUCAAGGGUAAAAGAAAUGAUUAAUUGUAUUUUGUAUCUUAAAAAGUCUUUGUACACCUGGCUGGCAUGCUUUUCAUUCUCCAGAUUGUGAUGCUUAGAUAAAAUAUAUAUUCCUUAGAAUGACAGAAAUAACGCUGCCCUGUAAUUAGUACAGCACUAAUUAAUUAUCAAGUGUAUGUACUUGAACAGUUAAAUUUUUCAUUGUUGAAUUGUACCUCCAAGUUCAUCUAUGUUCUUUGAGUAGACAAAUUUUGCAAGAAAAGGCAUCUUUCCAUAACUAUUGCAAGUAAAGUAGGAAAUAUAAGUUAGAUAUUUGUCAGGUUUCACACCAAGGUCCCUGAGUACUUCUUGUUCUUGUGGAAUGAAAACAUCCCCUGCUAGUCUGGCUCUACAGCAUACAGUGUCCUUUGAUCCCAAAGGCCCAAGUCCAGAAAGCAAAAGAUAAAUAGAC